This 797-nucleotide ribosomal RNA is filed under the name Micarea fennica. RNAcentral's name for it is "SSU rRNA". It matches the Rfam family "Bacterial small subunit ribosomal RNA", at positions 355 to 1132 of the family's 1533-position model. Lineage: Eukaryota; Fungi; Ascomycota; Lecanoromycetes; Lecanorales; Micareaceae. The record is from RNAcentral.
CUUGGAAGAAUGUAUAGUGAUUGCUAAUUGUUUCAUUCCACAGAAAAAUGAAGCAGUCUCGAUUUGAUCGAAUAAAAUUCUGGGUAAAAUUAUGAUAAUGACAUUAUUUACUCAUGAGUCUUGACCAAAUUACGUGCCAGCAGUCGCGGUAAUACGUAGAAGACGAGUGUUAUUCAUCUUUAAUAGGUUUAAAGGGUACCUAGACGGCAUAUUAAGCCUUAGUUGGGACUGGUUUGCUAGAGUUACUUAUGAGGAAGUUUUAAUGUACUAGAGGUGAAGAGAUGAAAUUCUGUCAUACCUUUUUUCUAACGAAAAAUUUCGGCACAGGUAUAGGUGAAAACAUCUUCUUAUGGGAUAACUGACGUUGAGGGACGAAGGCUUUUUAUCGCGAACAGGAUUAGAUACCCUGGUAGUCAAAGCAGAAAAUGAUGAGUGUCAUAGAUUAGAUAUAGUUUAUUCUAUAAAUGAAAGUGUAAGCACUCCACCUCAAGAGUAAUUUGGCAACAUUGGAACUGAAAUCAUUAGACCGUGUCUGAAACCAGUAGUGAAGUAUGUUAUUUAAUUUGAUAAUCCGCAAAAAACCUUACCACAACUUGAAUGUUUAUUUACUUACUUUUAUUACAUGUAUUGUGAGCAACCUUAUAUAUAAUCUAAGUUGCUCUUUAAGCAGUCGUGUUAAUAGAUUAAAUUAGAUAGGUACAAGUGUUGCACGGCUGUCUUCAGUUAAUGUCGUCAGACUAUGGUUAGCUCCAGUAAAUUAACGUAAACCCUUGCUCUAGUUUUAAGUAGAGUAGUUC